CAAUGUCUUCCCAACCAUGUUGUGUAACACCAGCUCUGUGCCCGGCAUGCAGUCCCACGCAGUUAGCUCAGCAGGACAGCGGUUUGCCCCGAGCACAAAUCCCCGCUGCGGUGGCUGCCUGCGGGUGCAGAGGAUGUGCUGGAACUCAGGCUGGUGCCACAUCGCUGCUCCCUGCUCCUGCUGACAGGUGUCACAGCCUGGGCUGCCGUCCCCUCCCCGGCUAAUGGGCCCUGUGUCCUAGGCUGGGGCUUCAAAUGGAGUGCUAAUGGCGGUCCUGUUCAGAGGAGUGUCUGCACACCUCCAGAAAGCUGCUCUUCUCCAUCCCGAGGAGCACUGUGUGGAAAACUGACUGGUUACCAGUGGCAGAAGGCAAAAAGGUUUGCUUUCUCUACAAGUAUUCCUGAAGACACUGUUGAUGGCUGUAUCUACAAAAUGACUGUGCAAAUGUGGGCUGGUAUCCUUAUAAAAAUGCUGCUUCAUGGCUGGUAUUAAAAUAGUAAGGAUAAGCUGCCAUAUUGCAGUAAUGAAACCUGACAAGAUGCCUCGAAUCUCAAUACAUUCAAUAACAAAGUUCAAGAUGAAAAUUACUUAAAUAAAG
Zonotrichia leucophrys gambelii is the source of this 598-nucleotide long non-coding RNA. RefSeq lists it as uncharacterized. NCBI's taxonomy places the organism in Eukaryota, Metazoa, Chordata, Aves, Passeriformes, Passerellidae. The record is from RefSeq and is a predicted model, not a curated record. The transcript is spliced from 3 exons.